UUUUUUUUUUUUUUUUCCUCAAAGACCCGCCAUUUGUUAAUAGCAUGUUCUUUGAAAUUGGCAACUCUGGCACCACCGUCGCUGCCCCCGCCACAGGUACUAUGUCAAAGCAGCAAUCUUUGAUAGCUCGCCAGAUAUUUAUCCAUCCCCCACCGCCUUUAUCAUCGCCAUCUUCGUCCGCCUCAUUAAACAAGCGUCGUCCACUUCUUCAACGACACAGCCACUCCGCCUCCUCCAAUUCCUCCUGCUGCAGCGGCCGUUUCGCAGAGCUAGCAGGCGGGACGACAGCUGAGUGUGCUGCGAUAUGCUGCUGUUGUCCAUGUGCGUUAGUAAACCUUCUAUACCUCACCAUCUACAAGGUUCCCGCUGGGCUGUGCCGCCGCGCUUUGAGGAGGCGGCGGAGGAAGCAGCUGAUCAAGAAAGGAAAGCUGCCGCUUAGGACAAGGAGAUGCCGGUGCGGGUGCCAAGAAACAGAGAUACAAAUUCAUCCGUCGCCAAGUGUCAAUGAGUUGGUAGUGUUAAAAUCGUAUUCAGAAGAGGAGGAGG
This 546-nucleotide unclassified non-coding RNA is filed under the name Hevea brasiliensis (rubber tree). Lineage: Eukaryota; Viridiplantae; Streptophyta; Magnoliopsida; Malpighiales; Euphorbiaceae. The record is from RNAcentral.